Molecule: long non-coding RNA, 775 nt
Organism: Homarus americanus (American lobster)
Lineage: Eukaryota; Metazoa; Arthropoda; Malacostraca; Decapoda; Nephropidae
Exons: 4
Source: RefSeq, a predicted model, not a curated record
CUGCUACUGCUGUGGUUAAGUGGGAACCUGGUGAUGGAACUGACUAACCCUGGUGACCUGGCUGGCUUAGGAUGGAUCAAGGUGUUUGUACUGGUGUUCAGCGGCCUGGGCAUAUUGGUGCAUCUAGUUGGCUUCUUCUACAUGAGGAACUUUGAACUGCUCCUGGAGAUGUUGUAUAUAAGAAACAACUUGCUGGCCAUCGCAAUGGGCUUAUGCUGGCGUCCGUACAGCUACUUGACUUCCUCUCCUUCCACCACCUGUUCGGGCCCUGGACGGUCAUCAUCGGGAAACUAAUGGUCGACUUGGCUAGAUUUCUCGUUAUUUUGGCUAUAUUCGUCUUCGGGUUUUUCUAUGUAUGUGGCAGCGAUCUAUAACCCCCUCAGACCUAUCUAUACUGACCUGAACAUUACCAGUGAGAGUACAGGUUACCCUCCAGCAGAGGCGCCCAUCCAGACGCCGCUACAGACGAAUAGAUGCUCUUCUUUUCUCUCUUCGGCCUGGUGGAACCUGACUACAUGCUCCUCUACAGCCACCCCGACUGGAGCCAAUCCCUCAUGAAGAUCGUGUUUGGGAUUUACCAGAUGGUGACAGUAGUGGUGCUCAUCAACCUCUUAAUUGCCAUGAUGUCCGACACCUACCAGAGGAUCCAAGCCAAGAGUGACACCGAGUGGAAGUUCGGACUGGCUAAACUAAUUCGAAACAUGAGUCGAACCUCUGGAACUCCGUCACCUCUGAACCUCCUUGUGAAGAUAAUUGUUUAAGUCGCCGUCUUCAA